CCUACGGGGGGCAGCAGUGGGGCAUAUUGCACAAUGGGGGAAACCCUGAUGCAGCGACGCCGCGUGAGUGAAGAAGUAAUUCGUUACGUAAAGCUCUAUCAGCAGGGAAGAAAAUGACGGUACCUGAGUACGAAGCCCCGGCUAACUACGUGCCAGCAGCCGCGGUAAUACGUAGGGGGCAAGCGUUAUCCGGAUUUACUGGGUGUAACGGGGGCGUAGACGGUGCGCCAAGUCUGGAGUGAAAUGCCGCCGCUUAACCGCGGAACGGCUUUGGAAACUGGCGAACUAGAGUGCGGGAGGGGGAAGCGGAAGUCCUAGUGUAGCGGUGAAAUGCGUAGAUAUUAGGAGGAACACCGGUGGCGAAGGCGGCUUACUGGACCGUAACUGACGUUGAGGCUCGAAAGCGUGGGGAGCAAACAGGAUUAGAUACCCGAGUAGUC
RNAcentral lists this ribosomal RNA (440 nucleotides) under uncultured bacterium. RNAcentral describes it as "partial 16S ribosomal RNA". It matches the Rfam family "Bacterial small subunit ribosomal RNA", at positions 338 to 795 of the family's 1533-position model. The record is from RNAcentral.